This is a long non-coding RNA of Acipenser ruthenus (sterlet), 1289 nucleotides long. RefSeq lists it as uncharacterized. The transcript has 5 exons. The record is from RefSeq and is a predicted model, not a curated record. Lineage: Eukaryota; Metazoa; Chordata; Actinopteri; Acipenseriformes; Acipenseridae.
CAGCAUUGCAAGUCCAGGUUGCUGGGUUGUCUGUGAACUGAACUCGCUCCUAUUAUAGCCCUUUUGUUUCGCCUUAACAAUCGGUCUUUAUUCCAGUCCUGUACUUGGCACCGUUUAGCUGCCUGACUCCAAGCUUAACCACCCUGCCUCUUCUGCUUAAAGCAUUGAAGCAAAUAUAUAUAGUAAACGUGGUGGGCCUCUCCACAGUCUGAAACAUCAGUGGUGUGGAGUAUAAUUCUAUAAUCUACUACAUAUAUGAUUAUUAUACACGACCACACGACCAAAGGACAGAGAGACUGCCUUAUUCAGAGAAGGAGAGUGAAAAAAACAAAGAGGGAAGUUAAAAAAGUUGGGGUUUUCAAAUUUUGUAAAGCGGUGUUCUCAGGACUGAGAGGAGGCGUGUCUAGCUGCACUUUACCUGCUUUGCAGAAUUCGCUCGUCUGUUUUAAAACGACAUGCACUCGAUCUGAAUUGCAACACCAAGACCACGGACAGCAGAAAGAAGAGCGGGGUGUGCAGGAGCUGGCCCCUGGCAGAGAGCGGUCUAGGGCUGCUCCUCUUUGGGUUGGUGGUGUGACAGUGUAACCAUCCCUCAGCACCUGGGGUUUACUGCCAUGUCAGAGCGAAGAGGCCCGAGCAGAGCCUGCAGCUCGACUGGAUAUCUACCCAGCUGAGUGAGAGGGGGUUGCGGGAGCUGCCCAACCUGGGAGUUGUGACUGAAGUAAUGCAAUGCAACGGUAUCCCUGGUGGGAUUUCAUGUGUGGCCGGCUUGCUGGUGGAGAUUCUGCAAAGAGAAUUAAAGCAUUGAGGUGCUUAGUGAUCCUACAACAGAUUAUGCAUUGUGAAGCUUUUCUUCAAGAGGAAAAGGAUUCUCUCCACUGCUCCAUGCACCAAAAGUUAUAGGUCAUGAAAAGCAGGUCUGCAGCAGCCCAGGGACCAGAGCGUCUCACUGGACUCCAGUCACAGAGGAGGAGGGACGGGGUCCAGCUUCAAAAACAUCAGCGUUCAUUUCAAACCUCAGGACUGUUGAGUGUGGAUGAGUGAAACAGCAGAGACACUGUGCUGUGAUGUACAGCAAUGGAAAUCGAAUAUGAGAACGGUUUAGAAUGUGUCAGCCUAGUAGUGAUGUCACGCUGUGCAUAACCCAUACUGCACGACGCUUCAUAGAACUUCCUGACUUGUGAUUUAUAAUCAGGUAACACGUCUUAUCAUAAUAGACCUAAUCUCUUUGGGCAAACUGUCCAAGAUGCUUACAACAACACCCUAAACACGCCACUUUUUAAACUUAG